GGCAGCGCGCAUGCGCAGCCCUCAGGGCCGGCCCCGGCGCACCUUUUCUCCCUCCUGCUCACAUUGUGAGCGCUCCGCCGCCCACAAAACUGCCGAUUCCCGCUCCACCCCCGCCUCCCCCACUCCACCCACUCCCGGGCACCCAGGGUCUCUGAAAUGAUACUUAAAUGGGGUGAGUAUAGAAAUGUAGAAAUCAGCCAUCACAACACGUCUAAACAACUUUGAUGCGAAAACUCAAGUCCCACCUGACAGCACCAGGCUGGAUAAUAUGCUGCAGUGGAGAGUGGCCUGCAGAUGACCAGGGAGUGACCAGGAACUGACCAUCUGCUUGAAGCCGGAACUGGUGGCAAGGCUGAGCCUUGGCCUGCAAACAAGAGACGAAGAAGGUGCGUGUUCCCCUGAGCAAUGUGUUGCCAUUCGGAGGAGCUGCAUAUUUCCUCUGUGCCAAAGAAUCCCCUGGUGCUUGGAGACCUCCUUCCUGUCGUGUUGAUGGUCCCGUGGAAAUGGGCCCCAUAGGAAGCUUGGUUCUGCUCUGCAUGGCAUUGACUGUGCAUGUCUUUUUCCUGACCAGGUUGCUGUUCUUAGCACCUACUAAGCACCUAGAUGUCCCCAACUUAUUGAGUGCUUUCCACUGUCCUAAAUGUUGCGCCUCUGUUAUCCCAUAGAAUCCUUCCAACUUCCUUUUGAGGUGAAUCCUCUGAUGCUGGUUGGUGAAGAUCUCGAGGGAGGUUUUUCCACAUUCUUCGGAUUCAUGGUUUCUCUCUAAUGUCCACGCCGAUGUUGGGUCUCAUCUUGAGCGAAGGUUUCCGCACAUCACAUUCUAUGUAAUUAAAUUCCUGGACACUGAGUCAGAUGUGCCGUCCAAGCCUCCAGACUCACCCGAGGGCUCUCGCACGGACACAUCAGAUACAGGUUUCUUUCCAGAGACUGAAUUCAUGAAGGGCGGGACCUAGGCACCCCCGCCCCCAUAGAGAGAACAGAAUGGGGGCUGAUGUCCUUGGGGUCUUACCAUAUGGACAUCCUGUUGGAACAUUCUUCACUCCUCCCCAGCAAGGCACACUCUGCUCUGUGAAGAAUCCAGGCAGGAAGUAAAGGAGAUCUCUGCGGCCACAGUGGAAAUGCCCAGACUCUCAGGAACCCCGGAUGGUCAUCCAGUCUGACCACACAUACCAUUCUGUUUUCAUUAUUAGUGUCUGUCCUGACUGCUAGUUCAUGGGCUCCCCCAGGACAGGAGGCAUGUGUGCCCUAGACACCAGUAGAGCCAUUUCAGUGUGUAUCACAGUGCCUGGUACAGAGCAGCUGUUAUUAAAUAUUUGUUGAAUAAAUCAACUAUAAAUGUGGAAGUGAUUCCCUUAAAGAGCUCUUCGCUCUUGCUUAGAUGUUGAGUUACAUUACAAGAUGGGUGUGUUGGGGGUGCGUAGGGACACCCUUGGGUAAGAAAUGCAUGGGAGGGCUCUGGAAAAUAGCCCCAAAGUUCCAUUUGUAUCUGCUGAGUAACAGGGAACCCCUGCAGGUUCUUCGGGUCACCGACAGGAGAAGGCAAGCGGGCGCGGGUUUUACAGGCUGUAUUUGAUCUGGAAGAGGGUAGGGUUACCCGAAGAACAGUGCGUCUUCUGGGAGCCACCUAAUCGCAGUGGCGAGCUCCAGAGAUGACUUUUGUGGCUGAAGGGUGAAUGUUUCAGCCGGGUGAGUGUCAAGAAUGCGGUAAGAGCUCUAGGGAGCCUUGCUGCUGUGUGAACUCAGAGCUGACGGUGGAAACAGAAGAGCCAGUGCAGGAAUAGCCAAAAAUGGCCAAAGAGGAAGACGCCUUGGGACCCAGCCCGGGAUCCUGGCGUUGCACUGUGUGGAGUGGGGGUGAAACCAAAUAGGAAGAUGUGUCUUUCUCCUGAGGGCAGAGGCCGUGUCUUAAGCAUCUACACCCACAGCUCCAAGCAGAGUGAGCGCCUUGCACACAGGAGCUGCUUAAUAAAUGCUAGAUAAAUGAAUGCUGGUUGUCUGGCUCUGGGAGGCACUGAGGAUGUGAGAGCUUGUGCGAGCCCCUGAAGCCCUGUUUACUGUCUUCUCUCCUCCGAGCUCCUCAGCCCACUCUUCUGUGUCGUCCCACCUCUGCUUUAAGCCAGAAGAUGUUCCCAAAGAUUGCGGCUCUAGGUGGACAGCAGAGAGUAGGAAAGGUGACUCUAGCACCUGCCAACUGGGUCUCAGCCUCAGCUGGUCCGGUCGCUCCCUCCCUUCUCCUUGGGGUUCCCACUGCCGAUAGGAUCCCACCCAGCCCCCCACCCAGUCAUCAGGUGUUGUUCACGUUUCCUCCUAGUCUUUCUCUCUUUGAUCUCAUCUGGGCAGGCAGGGACAUGUCACUGCUGGAAGCCUGGCAUAAGCAGAUGUGUGCGUGCAGGCACACACGACCCCUUCCCUGUCUCGGAGCCACCGUCUGGGCCUCUGCCCCUGGCCUGACCCAUCUUUAUGAGGCCGGGGCUCUUCCUCUCCAGGUGCUGAAGGUAGCCUCUGAGGCGAGAGAGCCAGGCAUUUUGCACAUCCGUGUCUGCAGCGUUGGCCUCCCUCAGGGGCUUGGGGAAGAUCCACCCAUAAGGAAGGAACUUCCAGAGAGACAAGAAACCAGGAGCCUGACCUCGUGAUGCCCACAGCACCUGGCAAGGAAGGUACCAGUUCUGCUGUCCUGGCCCAGACCCAAUUCUCUCUUCCAGCAUCCACGCCUUCCCUGGCUCCCCUCCAGGCCGACAAGAUCUGCUCCAGUUGGGGAAGGAUAAGUAUGGUCUAAUGAGUAGCGGCAGGAGAGGGAGGCCCCCAUGAUCUCGGUCACAUCAUACCCUGGCUCUGUGCCUCAGUUUCCCCCUUGAGAAAGUCUGCCCCUGCUUCCAGGGUUCGGAAGUUCCCUGGUCUCACUGGGGAAGAAACCCACAAUGGUGUUGUGUUCCCUUGCAGCCAGGAGCCGCCCGCCCUGCCCUGCCCCACCCCAGGAGGACUUGCUAGUUGGUGAAGCCCGGCCAGCAAGGCAGGGUCCUGCAGGAUGAAAGCUCGGAGACGCCAGAGCAGGAAUAAUAAUGAUAAUCAUCGGCUGUGGCGUCUCAACCGUCCAGGAAUGCGAGGCCCACGCCCUGCGCUCCCCACACCCCGAGACACUCCGAGGGCUCCUCUCCCUUGAUUUUACUGCAGUGAUCCCACACUUAGCCAUUCCCAGCCCAAUCCAUUUGGGUUCCCAAGGACUGCAGUCCAGCUCCUGGCUCAUCCAGCCCCCAGGUUCCCCAUGGGAAGAGUGAGCUCGACUAGAGGGUCGAGGGUAGGAUGCCAGGCUCCCUGGAGGCUCGGGCUCCUGGGUUUCCCAGAGAAGCACUCUGGCCAUCCCUGGCCUGGAGCGCUUUCCCACAGACCCAUUUUUGUCUGGUCAGCUUGAGGUCCAGGAGCUUUGCCUGUGUCAAUACAAAUCAGAAUUCAAGUCCUGGCUGGGCCACACAUUAACUCGCGGUAGGACCUUGGGCAAGUUUCGUUUUGUUUUUAACUUCUUUGGGUUCACUGUCUCACCUGCCCCAAAACUUCCAAGGUUCCCCCUCGUUCACUGAAGAUAAACUCUGAAUCCCGUAGUCCAGCAUAUGGCUGUUGAAGAUUCGGUUCUUUGUUUUUUUGGCCGUGCCGUGCAGCCUGCAGGAUCUUAGUUCCCUGACCAGGGAUUGAACCACGGCCCCCUCCAAUGGAAGCGUGGCGUCUUAACCACUGGACCACCAGGGAAGUCCCAAAGAUCUGGUUCUAAUUCACCUUUCCAACCCCACUCUUCUUCACCCUCCAGAUGCCAGCCACAAGUGACUCCCUACUGUUGGUCAUGCAUAUCCCAUGCAUUUCCCAUUCUGGGGUUGCCAUCCUUCUUUGGGAAUGUCAUUUUCUUCAUUUCUACCUGGCCAGACCUUCCUAGCCUUUGAGGUCCAGGCCAGAGAUCAUUGCUUCCAUGACUGCCUGACUCUCUUCCCACCUUGGGAGGCUGGUUCUUCUUUGUCUGAACCUCAAGCCCCUGGGUCCACCCUCUGCCCUGGUUAUGUGCAUAUCUCCACUUGCCCACUGGGGUCAUCAGUGUGCUGAGGUCUCCAUCUUUGUGUCCUCAUAGCGCCUAGUACAGCAUCCUGCAUACACGACACAUGCUCAAUAAAUAAGUGUUGGGCAUAAAUUGUAGCAAAUAAUCAUCCCCACCCUAUUAACUUCCCCACACAAAUGUGCUUUGAAAAAGUAAAAGUAAUUAUUUUAAUAUAAAAUUGUAUGCAUGUGUGUUCUCCCCAGUUUCCUCAGGGUAGUGGAACGCAGGUACCCAAGUAUCCGGUGAAGGUCUUAGCUCCCUAGCAUUGGGCCGACAUGCGGAAGGCUUUUCUCAACCAGUCGCUGGUCCAGUCUGAACUUGGACGCUGCCUAGCAGGAGGCGAGCUCUUCCCUUCCUCAGAGAAUGGCAAUCCCAUCCCUUGGGGGCUUCCGUUUUUCUAAGCCCCAUCAGCCUCCAUGUGCCGUGGGACUCAUAUGCCAGCAGGACCCCUGGAUUCAAGUGUUGUUAAGAGAUGAGAGGUUGGAUGUGUUUAGAAACCUCUCACCUGGAUCCUUAUGAGAACACCUUGGAGCAGUGUUCACUGCUGCUGCCUGUUAGUGUUGUUAAUAACAGUAAGAAUAACUUCGGCAACGCCUUGUAUUUACUUAAUGCUUUUCUCCAGGGAGCUCAACUAAUCUUUCCCUCAUCCCCAGAAAGAAGAGAAGGACCAUGGCAAUGAAAGAGAAGUGAGCCAUUGCGGCCACACUUUGAGUACUAGCAUCCUUUGUUCUAAGAGUCCCCACCACUCCCGCCGGUCAGACGCUCCGUGGUCCGGUCCUGAGCAGCGAAGCCUUCUGACCCCACCAUGAGCUGGGACUACAGCCCUGUUCCGUCUCGCUCGUUCCCUGGCACCCCUUUUGGAGUUGGUCAGUCAUUCAGUCCACAAACAUUUAUUGGGCAUCCCGCACGAGCAGAGUGCCGUGCUGCGUGGCUACUGGGAAAAGUCAAGAAAAUGUUGGUGCUGCCUUCGGGAGAAAACACUCUCCCACCACAAACACCCAGAGAGCUGCUUACUACAAGUUCAAAAGAACUCCGUCUCAGAACCAGAGGGGUAACGGGGAGCCAAACAGGGUGGGCUUUAUCAGAAAAGUCUUCUUGAAAUGGGGAGAUUGGAGCCUAACUUUGAUUCUCAGAAGGGCUGUCCCAGCUGAACAAAUCGGUGCCCAGGGUUGGGAAGCUCAUCCUGGCAGUGGGACCCAGAAUUCCCCUGCCACCUCUGCCAGGAAGCUGCCUUGUGGAUCCUGGGCCGCCCCUUCCCCUCUGGGCCAACUGGGCGAUAAGGACGGGGGACCAGCCCCAGCAAGGAGGAAGUGGCCUGGCUUCCUGUUUGUUUGUGAAUCUCAGAGCAGCACCGUGCAGCCAUGAACCCCAGCAAAGCAGAACAAGCCCAGCCUGAGCCCAGAGUUCCAGGGAGACCCACCAACCAACCCAGCAAGUCCUCAACCAUCUGGGACUCCAGAGCAGAGACCCAUCCCAGGGCAGCCACACUUGGAGGGCUAGCCUGGUAGCAGCCAUGCCAGGUCGGCAGGGUAAAGAGGUGGAGUAAUGACUUCCCCAAAGAAGUCAGAGUCACACAUUCAUCAUAGGAAGCCUCUGGGCAGCUCCAGGGGCUCAAGCAAUGCCAUCUCCCCACCCCAAAGAUUAUUUCCUAGGACCCUGGACACAACCCUUUUGCCUUGUAAGAAAACCUUGUGCAGAGAUUGGACCCUUUGAAAAAUGGGGCAGCAUUCAUUGUGGUUUUGUUUGCAACAGCAAAACACACGAAAAACCACCAGCAAGUCAUCCAAAAGCCAAUUCGUGACAAAAAAACAUGAUAGAUCCAUACUGGGGGAAACGCUGUAGCCAUUAAAAACAAUGGGGUGGAUUUGUUUGUGCUGAGAUGUCCAAGAUAUUUCAGUAAAUGAAAACAGCAAGAUACAACAGCGUGAUCCCUUUUCUGCAAAUAACGAACAGCAGAGGACAUGUUCAUAUAGGCUUAGAGAUGUAUGUGCUCUAGAAUGCGUGACUUUUUUUUUUUUUUUUUUUUUUUUACUGGAAGGAAAUUUAAGUAACCUAACAGCGGUUAUUUCGGGGAGAGGAACUGUGAAAGAAAAGUGGUGGGAAGGCAUUCAGUGUUCAUUAUGUAUCUUCCUGUACCGUUUGCAUUUUAAACUGAUGUAUAUAUGAUAUUGAGAUAGAUAUACAUAUUUUAAAAAUAUUACCUGUGGGCAAUGGGAUUAUGGUCCAUUCUGUUUAAUUCUUUGUACUUCUCUGUAUCAUUUAAAAUAAAAAAUAUCAAAGC
This is a long non-coding RNA of Aethalodelphis obliquidens (Pacific white-sided dolphin), 6359 nucleotides long. RefSeq lists it as uncharacterized. NCBI's taxonomy places the organism in Eukaryota, Metazoa, Chordata, Mammalia, Artiodactyla, Delphinidae. The transcript has 6 exons. The record is from RefSeq and is a predicted model, not a curated record.